RNAcentral lists this ribosomal RNA (403 nucleotides) under Salmonella enterica subsp. enterica serovar Braenderup. RNAcentral's name for it is "partial 23S ribosomal RNA". It matches the Rfam family "Bacterial large subunit ribosomal RNA", at positions 2261 to 2663 of the family's 2925-position model. The record is from RNAcentral. Lineage: Bacteria; Pseudomonadati; Pseudomonadota; Gammaproteobacteria; Enterobacterales; Enterobacteriaceae.
GUGGGUAGUUUGACUGGGGCGGUCUCCUCCUAAAGAGUAACGGAGGAGCACGAAGGUUGGCUAAUCCUGGUCGGACAUCAGGAGGUUAGUGCAAUGGCAUAAGCCAGCUUGACUGCGAGCGUGACGGCGCGAGCAGGUGCGAAAGCAGGUCAUAGUGAUCCGGUGGUUCUGAAUGGAAGGGCCAUCGCUCAACGGAUAAAAGGUACUCCGGGGAUAACAGGCUGAUACCGCCCAAGAGUUCAUAUCGACGGCGGUGUUUGGCACCUCGAUGUCGGCUCAUCACAUCCUGGGGCUGAAGUAGGUCCCAAGGGUAUGGCUGUUCGCCAUUUAAAGUGGUACGCGAGCUGGGUUUAGAACGUCGUGAGACAGUUCGGUCCCUAUCUGCCGUGGGCGCUGGAGAACU